RNAcentral lists this ribosomal RNA (460 nucleotides) under uncultured bacterium. Its description in RNAcentral is "partial 16S ribosomal RNA". It matches the Rfam family "Bacterial small subunit ribosomal RNA", at positions 338 to 795 of the family's 1533-position model. The record is from RNAcentral.
CCUACGGGUGGCAGCAGUGAGGAAUAUUGGUCAAUGGACGAGAGUCUGAACCAGCCAAGUAGCGUGAAGGAUGACUGCCCUAUGGGUUGUAAACUUCUUUUAUAUGGGAAUAAAAUGUUCCACGUGUGGGAUUUUGUAUGUACCAUAUGAAUAAGGCUCGGCUAACUCAGUGCCAGCAGCCGCGGUAAUACGGAGGAACCGAGCGUUAUCCGGCUUUAUUUGGUUUAAAGGGAGCGUAGUGGGAUUGUUAAGUCAGUUGUGAAAGUUUGCGGCUCAACCGUAAAAUUGAAGUUGAAACUGGCAGUCUUGAGUACAGUAGAGGUGGGCGGAAGUCGUGGUGUAGCGGUGAAAUGCUUAGAUAUCACGAAGAACUCCGAUUGCGAAGGCAGUUCACUGGACUGCAACUGACACUGAGGCUCGAAAGUGUGGGUAUCAAACAGGAUUAGAUACCCCGGUAGUC